CUUCAUCCGACACCCUCGAGACGUUUCCGGUCUUCUGAACAUACCUAUAUCCUGAGGGAGAAGAUAAAGAAGAACGUGCAUAUGAUUACGCGGAUAAAAGUUCAGGAGGACAUACGUACUACAUAAGUCAAUAAAUACGUUGGACGCACAUCUUGGACUUCUCUCCGUGAGGGGUCAAA
This 179-nucleotide long non-coding RNA is filed under the name Polistes fuscatus (common paper wasp). RNAcentral describes it as "uncharacterized LOC122521703". The record is from RNAcentral. Lineage: Eukaryota; Metazoa; Arthropoda; Insecta; Hymenoptera; Vespidae.